AAGGUCUAAUCUGCCCCUGAUUUUAUAUUAAAGGGCUGCAGUAUAUUGACUGUACAAAGGUAGCAUAAUCAUUAGUCUUUUAAUUGAAGACUUGUAUGAAAGAUUUGAUGAAAUAUAGACUGUCUCUAAGUUAUUUAUAAAAUUUAAUUUUUUAGUUAAAAAGCUAAAAUAAUUUUAAAAGACGAGAAGACCCUAUAGAGUUUUAUAGAUUUAUUAUUUAAGAUUAUAUAUAUAAAUAAAAAUUAAAAUUAAUAAAUUUAUUUUAUUGGGGUGAUAAAAAAAUUAAAAAAACUUUUUUUAAAAAUAAACAAAAAUAAAUGAUUAAAUGAUCCAUUAAUAAUGAUUAUAAGAAAAAAUUACCUUAGGGAUAACAGCGUAAUAUUUUUUUUUAGUACAAAUAAAAAAAAAAGUUUGCGACCUCGAUGUUGGAUUAAAAUAAAAUUUAAAUGCAAAAAUUUAAAAUUUUGAUCUGUUCGAUCAUUAAAAUCUUACAUGAUCUGAGUUCAAACCGGGGGGG
This 517-nucleotide ribosomal RNA is filed under the name Libythea celtis (nettle-tree butterfly). RNAcentral describes it as "partial 16S ribosomal RNA". The stretch from base 367 to 517 matches the Rfam family "Archaeal large subunit ribosomal RNA", at positions 2542 to 2693 of the family's 2987-position model. The record is from RNAcentral. Lineage: Eukaryota; Metazoa; Arthropoda; Insecta; Lepidoptera; Nymphalidae.